Molecule: unclassified non-coding RNA, 678 nt
Filed under: Hevea brasiliensis (rubber tree)
Lineage: Eukaryota; Viridiplantae; Streptophyta; Magnoliopsida; Malpighiales; Euphorbiaceae
Source: RNAcentral
GCAAGAUGAUAUUUUUGAUUCAAUUAGAUCUGCAGGGCACAUUAACAAAGAAAAUAGAUUUCUUGAAGUGGUCAUUAUUUCUGAGUAAGAUACUAAACAAAGUACAACCAACUACUAGAAGAAACCAAAAAAGUUAUACUAAUAUCUAACCAUUAAUUUAUCUUGGGGAUUUUUUGGUCCUUCUAAAGAGGUUUGUUCCUCUUAUGUGUAGCUUUUCCAGUAGAAUCCCCUUCAGAUGAAGCAUCUACGGAUUUUGUAAAUGAACAUGAAAGAUCUGCAUAAAGGUCAACAACCCUUCUGAUAUUAUUGUUUAACUCUCUGAUUAAACCAACAUUUCUGCUCAAGUUAUCAGGGAUCUUUGACUCAUGAUUCUGAUUUAUCUCAUUGAUUAACAAUCUAUUCUGAUCCAAUAGGUUCUGCACUUGUACAAAGCUCUUUUGAAAUGUUUGAAAUACCUUACCAUCUAUUUGUGUACCAUUAUUACCUAACACUGAAAAUGUAUCUCCUUCCAUUAUUUUGUUGCUAAACACAAUUCUCCUUUUUUCAAUUCAAACAGGACCUUGAAAAAACGAGAACAUUAUAGAUGGAGAUGAGAGGCAGUAGACAUAGAUUGGAAAAGCCGAAAUGAUCGGCGAUUGAAUCGAAUCUCCCAAAAGAGAGAGAGAGAAUAUGUAGAUU